Molecule: ribosomal RNA, 1500 nt
Filed under: Burkholderia multivorans
Lineage: Bacteria; Pseudomonadati; Pseudomonadota; Betaproteobacteria; Burkholderiales; Burkholderiaceae
Description: bacterial SSU rRNA
Rfam family: Bacterial small subunit ribosomal RNA
Source: RNAcentral
AGAGUUUUGGAUCAGGCUCAGAUUGAACGCUGGCGGCAUGCCUUACACAUGCAAGUCGAACGGCAGCACGGGUGCUUGCACCUGGUGGCGAGUGGCGAACGGGUGAGUAAUACAUCGGAACAUGUCCUGUAGUGGGGGAUAGCCCGGCGAAAGCCGGAUUAAUACCGCAUACGAUCCACGGAUGAAAGCGGGGGACCUUCGGGCCUCGCGCUAUAGGGUUGGCCGAUGGCUGAUUAGCUAGUUGGUGGGGUAAAGGCCUACCAAGGCGACGAUCAGUAGCUGGUCUGAGAGGACGACCAGCCACACUGGGACUGAGACACGGCCCAGACUCCUACGGGAGGCAGCAGUGGGGAAUUUUGGACAAUGGGCGAAAGCCUGAUCCAGCAAUGCCGCGUGUGUGAAGAAGGCCUUCGGGUUGUAAAGCACUUUUGUCCGGAAAGAAAUCCCUGGCUCUAAUACAGUCGGGGGAUGACGGUACCGGAAGAAUAAGCACCGGCUAACUACGUGCCAGCAGCCGCGGUAAUACGUAGGGUGCGAGCGUUAAUCGGAAUUACUGGGCGUAAAGCGUGCGCAGGCGGUCUGUUAAGUACAGAUGUGAAAUCCCCGGAGCCUCAACCUGGGAACUGCAUUUGUAGACGUGGCAGGCUAGAGUAUGGCAGAAGGGGGGUAGAAUUCCACGUGUAGCAGUGAAAUGCGUAGAGAUGUGGAGGAAUACCGAUGGCGAAGGCAGCCCCCUGGGCCAAUACUGACGCUCAUGCACGAAAGAACGUGGGGAGCAAACAGGAUUAGAUACCCUGGUAGUCCACGCCCUAAACGAUGUCAACUAGUUGUUGGGGAUUCAUUUCCUUAGUAACGUAGCUAACGCGUGAAGUUGACCGCCUGGGGAGUACGGUCGCAAGAUUAAAACUCAAAGGAAUUGACGGGGACCCGCACAAGCGGUGGAUGAUGUGGAUUAAUUCGAUGCAACGCGAAAAACCUUACCUACCCUUGACAUGGUCGGAAUCCUGAAGAGAUUCGGGAGUGCUCGAAAGAGAACCGGCGCACAGGUGCUGCAUGGCUGUCGUCAGCUCGUGUCGUGAGAUGUUGGGUUAAGUCCCGCAACGAGCGCAACCCUUGUCCUUAGUUGCUACGCAAGAGCACUCUAAGGAGACUGCCGGUGACAAACCGGAGGAAGGUGGGGAUGACGUCAAGUCCUCAUGGCCCUUAUGGGUAGGGCUUCACACGUCAUACAAUGGUCGGAACAGGAGGGUUGCCAACCCGCGAGGGGGAGCUAAUCCCAGAAAACCGAUCGUAGUCCCGGAUUGCACUCUGCAACUCGGAGUGCAUGAAGCUGGAAUCGCUAGUAAUCGCGGAUCAGCAUGCCGCGGGUGGAAUACGUUCCCCGGGUCUUGUACACACCGCCCCGUCACACCAUGGGGAGUGGGUUUUACCAGAAGUGGCUAGUCUAACCGCAAGGAGGACGGUCACCACGGUAGGAUUCAUGACUGGGGUGAAGUCGUA